RNAcentral lists this ribosomal RNA (484 nucleotides) under uncultured bacterium. RNAcentral describes it as "bacterial SSU rRNA". It matches the Rfam family "Bacterial small subunit ribosomal RNA", at positions 28 to 507 of the family's 1533-position model. The record is from RNAcentral.
GAUGAACGCUAGCUACAGGCUUAACACAUGCAAGUCGAGGGGCAGCACAGUGUAGCAAUACAUGGGUGGCGACCGGCGCACGGGUGCGUAACGCGUAUCCAACCUUCCCGUUACUCAGGGAUAGCCUUCCGAAAGGGAGAUUAAUACCUGAUGGUGUUGAAAUUCCGCAUGUUAUUUCAACUAAAGAUUUAUCGGUAACGGAUGGGGAUGCGUGACAUUAGGUAGAUGGCGGGGUAACGGCCCACCAUGCCUACGAUGUCUAGGGGUUCUGAGAGGAAGGUCCCCCACACUGGAACUGAGACACGGUCCAGACUCCUACGGGAGGCAGCAGUGAGGAAUAUUGGUCAAUGGCCGAAGGCUGAACCAGCCAAGUAGCGUGAAGGAUGAAGGUUCUAUGGAUUGUAAACUUCUUUUAUACGGGAAUAAAACCUCCCACGUGUGGGAGCUUGUAUGUACCGUAUGAAUAGCAUCGGCUAACUCCGUG